UACGGGGGGGGCAAGCGUUGUUCGGAAUUACUGGGCGUAAAGGGCGAGUAGGUGGCCAUCUAAGUCAGACGUGAAAUCCCCCGGCUUAACCUGGGAACUGCGUCUGAUACUGGACGGCUUGAGUAUGGGAGAGGAACGUAGAAUUCCAGGUGUAGCGGUGAAAUGCGUAGAUAUCUGGAGGAAUACCGGUGGCGAAGGCGGCGUUCUGGACCAUUACUGACACUGAAUCGCGAAAGCUAGGGGAGCAAACGGG
This 253-nucleotide ribosomal RNA is filed under the name uncultured bacterium. RNAcentral's name for it is "partial 16S ribosomal RNA". It matches the Rfam family "Bacterial small subunit ribosomal RNA", at positions 524 to 776 of the family's 1533-position model. The record is from RNAcentral.